GAUGAAGAACGCAGUGAAAUGCGAUAAGUAGUGUGAAUUGCAGAAUUCAGUGAAUCAUCGAAUCUUUGAACGCACAUUGCGCCCCUUGGUAUUCCAUGGGGCAUGCCUGUUCGAGCGUCAUUUGUACCCUCCAGCCCUGCUGGGUAUUGGGCGUUUUGUUCCGCUACGCGCGUGAACUCGCCUCAAAUGCAUUGGCAGCCCGCCGUCCCGUGUGGGAGCGCAGCACAUUUUGCGCUCUCCGCUGCUGACGGUGGCAUCCACAAGUCUACCAUUUUACGCUUGACCUCGGAUCAGGUAGGGAUACCCGCUGAACUUAAGCAUAUCAAUAAGCGGAGGA
RNAcentral lists this unclassified non-coding RNA (337 nucleotides) under soil metagenome. RNAcentral's name for it is "partial contains 5.8S ribosomal RNA, internal transcribed spacer 2, and large subunit ribosomal RNA". The stretch from base 1 to 120 matches the Rfam family "5.8S ribosomal RNA", at positions 35 to 154 of the family's 154-position model. The record is from RNAcentral.